GUAGGUUUCAUAAGGACGCAGAUACCGUGGUUUUAUUAGGACGUAGAUACAGUGGUUUUAUCAGGACGUAGAUACAGUGGUUUUAUAAGGACGUAGAUACAGUGGUUUUAUAAGGACGUAGAUAGAGUGGUUUUAUAAGGACGUAGAUACAGUGGUUUUAUCAGGACGUAGUUAGAGUGGUUUUAUCAGGACGUAGAUACAGUGGUUUUAUUAGGUCGUAGAUACAGUGGUUUUAUAAGAACGUAGAUACAAUUGUUUUAUUAGGCUCCAUCCUUGGACCAGGUGUCCAUCCAAAACGUCGUGAGAACAAAGAGGAGCAGACGUCCCACUGCACCCGUGCCCCCGCCGGCUCCACAGAAGAGGUGCAAACCAAAAGAUUGUGACGUGCAUCCGUCAAUGGAGACCUUCGGUGUGAAACUAGUUUUAAAGCGGAGGCUGUCCAGUGAGGACAAGGAGGAGGCAUACGUCAGGUGGAUGCCGUGUCCAAAAUGUGGAAAAAAAUGGCAAGACUCCUGGGUGUUGAGUGAGGAAUUUGAUUGAAGAGCCAUGUCUGUGUUAAUAAUAAUAAACUUCAUUUGCGU
This is a long non-coding RNA of Clupea harengus (Atlantic herring), 581 nucleotides long. RefSeq lists it as uncharacterized. NCBI's taxonomy places the organism in Eukaryota, Metazoa, Chordata, Actinopteri, Clupeiformes, Clupeidae. The record is from RefSeq and is a predicted model, not a curated record. The transcript is spliced from 4 exons.